AUUGAACGCUGGCGGAAUGCUUUACACAUGCAAGUCGAACGGCAGCACGGGGGCAACCCUGGUGGCGAGUGGCGAACGGGUGAGUAAUACAUCGGAACGUGCCCAGUCGUGGGGGAUAACUACGCGAAAGCGUAGCUAAUACCGCAUACGAACUCUGGUUGAAAGCGGGGGAUCGCAAGACCUCGCGCGAUUGGAGCGGCCGAUGGCAGAUUAGGUAGUUGGUGGGGUAAAGGCCUACCAAGCCGACGAUCUGUAGCUGGUCUGAGAGGACGACCAGCCACACUGGGACUGAGACACGGCCCAGACUCCUACGGGAGGCAGCAGUGGGGAAUUUUGGACAAUGGGCGCAAGCCUGAUCCAGCCAUUCCGCGUGCAGGAUGAAGGCCCUCGGGUUGUAAACUGCUUUUGUACGGAACGAAAAGCGCUGGGUUAAUACCUCGGCGUCAUGACGGUACCGUAAGAAUAAGCACCGGCUAACUACGUGCCAGCAGCCGCGGUAAUACGGUA
RNAcentral lists this ribosomal RNA (507 nucleotides) under uncultured bacterium. Its description in RNAcentral is "bacterial SSU rRNA". It matches the Rfam family "Bacterial small subunit ribosomal RNA", at positions 30 to 529 of the family's 1533-position model. The record is from RNAcentral.